GGAUCUGCCACAGGCUGUGUUCUUAUAAUGACUAUAUAGAAAGAGGAGGCAAAGUAAACCUACCAAAUAUAUACCUCAGCCCAGGCCCUAUGCCUGCUCUAUAUUUUGAAUGGGGAGAUGUGG
This 123-nucleotide small nucleolar RNA is filed under the name Castor canadensis (American beaver). RNAcentral describes it as "Small nucleolar RNA SNORA51 (ENSCCNG00000011144.1)". It matches the Rfam family "Small nucleolar RNA SNORA51". From Rfam's summary of the family: ACA51 is a member of the H/ACA class of snoRNA that guide the sites of modification of uridines to pseudouridines. Lineage: Eukaryota; Metazoa; Chordata; Mammalia; Rodentia; Castoridae. The record is from Rfam by way of RNAcentral.